UGACACAGGUAGAUGAGGAGAGAAUCCUAAGGCCGGCGGAAGAAUUGCAGUUAAGGAACUAGGCAAAUUGACCCCGUAAGUUCGCGAGAAGGGGUGCCUGCGAGAGCAGGCCGCAGAGAAUAGGCCCAAGCAACUGUUUAGCAAAAACACAGGUCUCUGCUAAAGCGCAAGCUGAUGUAUAGGGGCUGACGCCUGCCCGGUGCUGGAAGGUUAAGGGGAACACUUAGCGCAAGCGAAGGUGUGAACUUAAGCCCCAGUAAACGGCGGCCGUAACUAUAACGGUCCUAAGGUAGCGAAAUUCCUUGUCAGGUAAGUUCUGACCCGCACGAAUGGCGUAAUGACUUGGGCACUGUCUCAACUGCAAAUCCGGCGAAGUUGUAGUGCGAGUGAAGAUGCUCGCUACCCGCGAUUGGACGGAAAGACCCCGUAGAGCUUUACUGCAGCUUAGCAUUGAAUUCCGGUAUUGUCUGUACAGGAUAGGUGGGAGACUGGGAAACUAGGGCGUCAGCCUUAGUGGAGUCAACCUUGGGAUACCACCCUGACAGUACUGGGGUUCUAACAGGACGCCAUGAAUCUGGUGACUGGACAUUGUUAGGUGGGCAGUUUGACUGGGGCGGUCGCCUCCUAAAAAGUAACGGAGGCGCCCAAAGGUUCCCUCAGAACGGUCGGAAAUCGUUCGUAGAGUGCAAAGGCAUAAGGGAGCCUGACUGCGAGACCUACAAGUCGAGCAGGGACGAAAGUCGGGCUUAGUGAUCCGGUGGUACCUCGUGGGAGGGCCAUCGCUCAACGGAUAAAAGCUACCUCGGGGAUAACAGGCUGAUCUCCCCCAAGAGUCCACAUCGACGGGGAGGUUUGGCACCUCGAUGUCGGCUCGUCGCAUCCUGGGGCUGUAGUAGGUCCCAAGGGUUGGGCUGUUCGCCCAUUAAAGCGGCACGCGAGCUGGGUUCAGAACGUCGUGAGACAGUUCGGUCCCUAUCCGUCGCGGGCGUAGGAAAUUUGAGAGGAGCUGUCCUUAGUACGAGAGGACCGGGAUGGACUGACCUCUGGUGCACCAGUUGUUCCGCCAGGAGCAUGGCUGGGUAGCUAAGUCGGGAAGGGAUAAACGCUGAAAGCAUCUAAGCGUGAAGCCUCCCUCAAGAUGAGAUUUCCCAUAGCAUAAGCUAGUAAGACCCCUUGAAGAACACAAGGUUGAUAGGUCAGAGGUGUAAGUGCGGUAACGUAUGUAGCUGACUGAUACUAAUAGGUCGAGGGCUUGAUC
This 1258-nucleotide ribosomal RNA is filed under the name metagenome. RNAcentral describes it as "bacterial LSU rRNA". It matches the Rfam family "Bacterial large subunit ribosomal RNA", at positions 1655 to 2925 of the family's 2925-position model. The record is from RNAcentral.